AGGCUGAUGAAAUAAUUUUCCUGUGGAAUUGUUUGUCAGACUUUGACAAGUGUCGCACAGUGUACCCCCCACGUCACCAGGAUACACUCGCACAUGGCAGAUUCAGGACGUCAAAAAAGGCUGUUGCGCCUGGUGUGGAGAGUACAAAGCGAUGCUUUGCAGGAGGGAGAAGCCCAGCACAGUGGCCAGACUGCAAUCGGGUUUGUGAGGCACUCUUCGUCCAACUUUGCGAGGAGUACCGUGGAUCGAGGCGGAUUGAUGGGGUCCACCACGAGCGCUGGAGUCUGGUUAAGAAAGCGUACCUCCACAUCCGUCAGGUGGUUUUAAACAACGCCACGGUGAUGGAGAAGACCUCACUUCAGCUCCCGGUCGUGAACACGGCAACACUCUCGAGUUGGUACUGCAAACGGGGAAGAGGACAGGAGAAGAGGAUUCUCGAGCAAGGGAUCUGUCCACCUCAGACAACAACUGUGAACCCCGAGAGCCUGCCUCCUGCAGUUCAGAGGAAAGGCAAACCGUGUAUGCCUCAAAGCAUCGUGGCAUAUUCCCACGUAUUUGUUCUGCCACCUAACACUGCAGGGACGGCAACACUGCAGGGACGGAAGAUCAGAAGAGUGAACCCUCCUUCUGAUCUUCUGAGGCCACCAUGCCUCAAUCCCUCUGGUCUGUGCCUCAACCUCACCUGUCUGCCUUACAGCCUGCAGGAGCAUCUGUGGUACAUGUGCCAUACCUACCAUAUACCACCACCCACUAUCGAAAGAAAAAAAGAGAGGAGGAGGAGAAGACUGGUUUCAAGAAGAGGAAAUAUACAAGGAGUAGUGCCC
Molecule: long non-coding RNA, 824 nt
Organism: Gadus morhua (Atlantic cod)
Lineage: Eukaryota; Metazoa; Chordata; Actinopteri; Gadiformes; Gadidae
Source: Ensembl